This 737-nucleotide long non-coding RNA is filed under the name Mytilus galloprovincialis (Mediterranean mussel). The record is from RNAcentral. Lineage: Eukaryota; Metazoa; Mollusca; Bivalvia; Mytilida; Mytilidae.
UUUAUUUUUAGCUCACCUGGCCCGAAGGGCCAAGUGAGCUAUUCCCAUCACUUUGCGUCCGGCGUCCGUCGUCGUCGUCCGUCGUCCGUCGUCGUCCGUCGUCGUUAACUUUUACAAAAAUCUUCUCCUCUGAAACUACUGGGCCAAAUCAAACCAAACUUGGCCACAAUCAUCAUUGGGGUAUCUAGUUUAAAAAAUGUGUGGCGUGACCCGGUCAACCAACCAAGAUGGCCGCCACGGCUAAAAAUAGAACAUAGGGAUAAAAUGCAGUUUUUGGCUUAUAACUCAAAAACCAAAGCAUUUAGAGCAAAUCUGACAUGGGGUAAAAAUGUUUAUCAGGUCAAGAUCUAUCUGCCCUGAAAUUUUCAGAUGAAUCGGUCAAUCGGUUGUUGGGUUGCUGCCCCUGAAUUGGUAAUUUUGAGGAAAUUUUGCUGUUUUUGGUUAUUAUCUUGAAUAUUAUUAUAGAUAGAGAUAAAUUGUAAACAGCAAUAAUGUUCAGCAAAGUAAGAUCUACAAAUAAGUCAACAUGACCAAAAUGGUCAGUUGACCCGUUUAGGAGUUAUUGCCCUUUAUAGUCAAUUUUUAAACCAUUUUUCGUUAAUUAAAGUAAUCUUUUACAAAAAUCUUCUCCUCUGAAACUACUUGGCCAAAUUAAUCCAAACUUGGCCACAAUCAUCUUUGGGGUAUCUAGUUUAAAAAAUGUGUGGCGUGACCUGGUCAACCAACCAAGAUGGCCG